This 330-nucleotide unclassified non-coding RNA is filed under the name soil metagenome. RNAcentral's name for it is "partial contains 5.8S ribosomal RNA, internal transcribed spacer 2, and large subunit ribosomal RNA". The stretch from base 1 to 120 matches the Rfam family "5.8S ribosomal RNA", at positions 35 to 154 of the family's 154-position model. The record is from RNAcentral.
GAUGAAGAACGUAGCGAAAUGCGAUAAGUAAUGUGAAUUGCAGAAUUCAGUGAAUCAUCGAAUCUUUGAACGCACAUUGCGCCCCCUGGUAUUCCGGGGGGCAUGCCUGUUCGAGCGUCAUUUCACCACUCAAGCCUCGCUUGGUAUUGGGCAACGCGGUCCGCCGCGUGCCUCAAAUCGACCGGCUGGGUCUUCUGUCCCCUAAGCGUUGUGGAAACUUUCGCUAAAGGGUGUUCGGGAGGCUACGCCGUAAAACAACCCCAUUUCUCAGGUUGACCUCGGAUCAGGUAGGGAUACCCGCUGAACUUAAGCAUAUCAAUAAGCGGAGGA